RNAcentral lists this ribosomal RNA (492 nucleotides) under uncultured bacterium. RNAcentral's name for it is "partial 16S ribosomal RNA". It matches the Rfam family "Bacterial small subunit ribosomal RNA", at positions 29 to 507 of the family's 1533-position model. The record is from RNAcentral.
AGUGAACGCUGGCGGUAGGCCUAACACAUGCAAGUCGAACGGCAGCACAGUAAGAGCUUGCUCUUACGGGUGGCGAGUGGCGGACGAGUGAGGAAUACAUCGGAAUCUACUUUUUCGUGGGGGAUAACGUAGGGAAACUUACGCUAAUACCGCAUACGACCUACGGGUGAAAGCAGGGGAUCUUCGGACCUUGCGCGAUUGAAUGAGCCGAUGUCGGAUUAGCUAGUUGGCGGGGUAAAGGCCCACCAAGGCGACGAUCCGUAGCUGGUCUGAGAGGAUGAUCAGCCACACUGGAACUGAGACGCGGUCCAGACUCCUACGGGAGGCAGCAGUGGGGAAUAUUGGACAAUGGGCGCAAGCCUGAUCCAGCCAUACCGCGUGGGUGAAGAAGGCCUUCGGGUUGUAAAGCCCUUUUGUUGGGAAAGAAAAGCAGCAGGUUAAUACCCCGCUGUUCUGACGGUACCCAAAGAAUAAGCACCGGCUAACUCCGUG